Molecule: ribosomal RNA, 340 nt
Filed under: Eubacterium sp.
Lineage: Bacteria; Bacillati; Bacillota; Clostridia; Eubacteriales; Eubacteriaceae
Description: partial 23S ribosomal RNA
Rfam family: Bacterial large subunit ribosomal RNA
Source: RNAcentral
CCUGGGGCUGUAGUAGGUCCCAAGGGUUGGGCUGUUCGCCCAUUAAAGCGGUACGCGAGCUGGGUUCAGAACGUCGUGAGACAGUUCGGUCCCUAUCCGUUGUGGGCGUAGGAAAUUUGAUAGGAGCUGUCCUUAGUACGAGAGGACCGGGAUGGACGAACCUCUGGUGAAUCUGUUGGUAACCAAUGCCACAGCAGAAUAGCCAAGUUUGGAAUGGAUAAACGCUGAAGGCAUCUAAGCGUGAAGCCAACCUAAAGACUAGAUUUCCCAUGCGAAAGCAGUAAGACUCCUUGUAGACGACAAGGUUGAUAGGCCAGAGAUAAGUCGAGGGCUUGACCAA